This is a long non-coding RNA of Carya illinoinensis, 573 nucleotides long. RefSeq lists it as uncharacterized. The transcript has 2 exons. The record is from RefSeq and is a predicted model, not a curated record. NCBI's taxonomy places the organism in Eukaryota, Viridiplantae, Streptophyta, Magnoliopsida, Fagales, Juglandaceae.
CCAUAGUGAUAUGUCUCGAAAAUCACAACCAUCGUUUUCUGAUGAGGUUCAGGUUCGGUUUGGAAUGAGAUUUGUGAAACAUAUUUUCACUUUGAGAUAUCUUCAUCAGCCCUAACCAAACCAAUACUAUUUCUUUCUCUUUUCUUUCUUUCUUCCUUUCAAAACCCACGCACCCAAUCAGAUAAAAAAAAAAAAACAAAAAAAAAAGGAGAAUAAAUUCCAUCCUUGAGUAGAUGAGCCUCUGAUCUUCAACUACAUCUGCGGAAGGUGUGAUUUGAUAGAGCACGUUUUCGGUAGCGAGGCUGGGACACCAUCAAGUCGAUCAGUCGGAGAAGUGUCAGAGAAAUUCAAACUACAGAUGCCGGUUGAAGACGUGCUCGACAUCAAGUUCAGCUCUUCGAUGGCUCCGAUUUGGGCCCUUUUCAAUACUCUUCGGCCUCUACCAUAGAUAUGAACUCAGAGCGAUCAUUCCGUUUGUUUUUCUACUAGGUGGAAUUUUUUGUCUCUAUUUUAUCGAGAACCAAAUUGAAUGUUAAGGAUGUGACUAUUUGUUGAAGUUCUUGAUCGUGUUGA